Molecule: ribosomal RNA, 514 nt
Filed under: Bifidobacterium dentium
Lineage: Bacteria; Bacillati; Actinomycetota; Actinomycetes; Bifidobacteriales; Bifidobacteriaceae
Description: bacterial SSU rRNA
Rfam family: Bacterial small subunit ribosomal RNA
Source: RNAcentral
UUGGAGAAUUUGAUCCUGGCUCAGGAUGAACGCUGGCGGCGUGCUUAACACAUGCAAGUCGAACGGGAUCCCGGGGGUUCGCUUCCGGGUGAGAGUGGCGAACGGGUGAGUAAUGCGUGACCGACCUGCCCCAUACACCGGAAUAGCUCCUGGAAACGGGUGGUAAUGCCGGAUGCUCCGGUUGGAUGCAUGUCCUUCCGGGAAAGAUCCGUCGGUAUGGGAUGGGGUCGCGUCCUAUCAGCUUGAUGGCGGGGUAACGGCCCACCAUGGCUUCGACGGGUAGCCGGCCUGAGAGGGCGACCGGCCACAUUGGGACUGAGAUACGGCCCAGACUCCUACGGGAGGCAGCAGUGGGGAAUAUUGCACAAUGGGCGCAAGCCUGAUGCAGCGACGCCGCGUGCGGGAUGGAGGCCUUCGGGUUGUAAACCGCUUUUGAUCGGGAGCAAGCCCUUCGGGGUGAGUGUACCUUUCGAAUAAGCACCGGCUAACUACGUGCCAGCAGCCGCGGUAAUAA